UUGUACUUGGCCUUUACCGAUGCACUUUCUGAUUUCACAACAGCACUGAAGGGCUACAAUUAACGUGUCUGGGUGGAAGUUUCAUUAUGAAAAUGCGGGAAAUUCCCCACUAUACCAGGAAUAAAAGAGAGAGACAGAAAUUGCUUUCACUUUAGUCGGAGCAGCACAGGGAGACGGAUCUCUAACUGCUGGGGGAACGUGCAAGAGAAUUUGUGAAGAGAACCUAAAGUAGCGAAGGGGAGUUCGUGGAGAAACGUGUGCUGGUAAGGGCUAAGAACAACCAAGCUCGGCUGACCUGUGAUGAAGAUCGACAUCAGUAACAGACAUCAGUAGAAGACUUUGUGCUUGGUCGAAGCUAUGCUGCCAGCAGAACCUGUUUUACAGGAGACAGGUGCAGGAACUAACAGGACCUUAAAUGACUUUAUUAGAAAGCACCAUAAUGCUUUUAUCCUCUGUAUGCAGAAUUUUGAAAGAAUGAAAGCUUCUUCUGACAAAUUUUACCAAUAAAAAAAAAAAUAGAGCUAUUAAAACACA
Pelobates fuscus (common spadefoot toad) is the source of this 534-nucleotide long non-coding RNA. RefSeq lists it as uncharacterized. The transcript has 3 exons. NCBI's taxonomy places the organism in Eukaryota, Metazoa, Chordata, Amphibia, Anura, Pelobatidae. The record is from RefSeq and is a predicted model, not a curated record.